This 497-nucleotide ribosomal RNA is filed under the name uncultured bacterium. RNAcentral's name for it is "partial 16S ribosomal RNA". It matches the Rfam family "Bacterial small subunit ribosomal RNA", at positions 28 to 507 of the family's 1533-position model. The record is from RNAcentral.
GAUGAACGCUGGCGGCGUGCCUAAUACGUGCAAGUCGAGCGAACAGAUAAGGAGCUUGCUCCUUUGACGUUAGCGGCGGACGGGUGAGUAACACGUGGAUAACCUACCUAUAAGACUGGGAUAACUUCGGGAAACCGGAGCUAAUACCGGAUAACAUAUUGAACCGCAUGGUUCAAUAGUGAAAGGCGGCUUUGCUGUCACUUAUAGAUGGAUCCGCGCCGUAUUAGCUAGUUGGUAAGGUAACGGCUUACCAAGGCAACGAUACGUAGCCGACCUGAGAGGGUGAUCGGCCACACUGGAACUGAGACACGGUCCAGACUCCUACGGGAGGCAGCAGUAGGGAAUCUUCCGCAAUGGGCGAAAGCCUGACGGAGCAACGCCGCGUGAGUGAUGAAGGUCUUCGGAUCGUAAAACUCUGUUAUCAGGGAAGAGCAAAUGUGUAAGUAACUGUGCACAUCUUGACGGUACCUGAUCAGAAAGCCACGGCUAACUACGUG